CCCAGCUGUUGGACCUGGAAUACCAAGCAAGACGGGCUUACAUCGACUCUGAUGUUCUGAAGGAGCACGACAGACCUACCAAGAUUCUUCAAGCAUAUCCCUGCUUCAGAGAAGUGGAUCAUAUAAUGGAUGAACUGCAGCGGAUCCUCAAUCAAGGAAACCCCCACUUCAUAGCUGAACUGAAGAACCGCUGGAAGACCUUUUGUGAGAAGAUCCAGUUUUAUGGCGUUUUCAAAAAAGUCAUGAGACCUCCACUGGCUGAUAAAGUAAAGCGAGGGGUUGCGAUGAUGAAAGCUUUGCCAGACGUCUUCCCAUCACCCAUUGCUCCACCCAAGAAGUUGGGGCAUGCAAGUGAGGCCAUUCUUCACAUCUUGAGUCUGUGGAAGACCCCAACGCUUUCCUGAACGCAAGACCGCUCUCCAGCCCUGUAGUGAUCGUCUGUGAGAGCAACUGCAUUCUGGCCAUCGGAACCAUGCCUGUGCUGAUCUUCCCAAAGGAGGACAUCUCAGUGUGAUGUACAUCAUGGCAUGCUGCUACACCUUUCACCUCACAUACCCCAAGUGCAUAACCACACUCCUCUCUGUGCUGCAGACAGAGGUCCUCAUGGAUGCCAUCCAUGACCAAGACAUGACUUCUUCAUAUAAAAAAGCUAUGGCUGAGUGGAGGAAGUUCAGAGGACUUUUUGCAGUGUAGGAGAAGUAAAGAAGGGGAAGUUCAUACGUCAGGUGGCAGAUGAAGAUGGACAGAAUGACUUUUCAGCCCAUCAGGUCAUCCAUGAACAAAUGGAGACAGAUCUUACAUUAUAUGAGAUGGAACAUUUUAAAUUUUACUUCAACAUAAUUGAUGGCACAAUUUACCCCCAACAUGUUUUCUCCAAAGGCUCAACUAAGUCCAAGUUUGUUCCCUUUGGAAAGCCAUAUUCCUCAUAUACAAUGACUACACCAGUGUUUCAGCAUUUUACAUGAACCCAAAUUUAUCCACUGUGUGCUUUCUUUACAGUAAAUAUGACAGCUAAAAGUUUAAAAAAUAACAACAUUACAUAUAUGCUGCUUUGUUUACAUUUGAACGAGGUAGUGCUGCAUUUAAAUCAGGGUGCAGACAGUUCUGCACAGUGUCUUCCAGAUUUCAACAAGACAACAGGACGACUUGAAACGAGCAGGACAUCGAGAUUAAUCUCAACUUUAACCUUUCAAGAAAACCCAAAGAAGCCAACAUUUUUGAGUCUUUUUUGACAAGAUAAAAAUGAACAAUCAAAGUUCAUCCUCAUCCUCAUCUUCCUCUGAGGAGAGUACUACAAGGCAUCCUUUCGAAGUCCCAGAAGACUACAAGUUGAUGCAAAACCUGGAACAUGGAAGCUGUGGAUUUGUGCCGGAACGUAUGACAAACAACACUGAAGAGCACGAGGCCAUAAAGGUGUCCGAACGGAACUGUCAAGAC
Molecule: long non-coding RNA, 1437 nt
Organism: Acanthochromis polyacanthus (spiny chromis)
Lineage: Eukaryota; Metazoa; Chordata; Actinopteri; Pomacentridae
Exons: 6
Source: RefSeq, a predicted model, not a curated record